Molecule: long non-coding RNA, 1147 nt
Filed under: Mytilus galloprovincialis (Mediterranean mussel)
Lineage: Eukaryota; Metazoa; Mollusca; Bivalvia; Mytilida; Mytilidae
Source: RNAcentral
GUCAGUUAUUUGUUCAUUCUGCUCGUAGUCAACGGCCAAUGAAUUAACAAUAGUUAUUGUAAUAUUUGAAAGGGCAAACAAUUCCUUGUUCUAACAGCUAUUACGUGUAUUGCAUUGCAGUUUGAAUUAUAAAUACUUCUCUAAUAAAAGUUGAACUUGCUACUUACGAACUGAAAAAAAACCAUGUCUGUGAAUGUCUUUAAGCUAUUUCUAUGAACUUUACAAAAUGUGGUGUUUUGAUGAAGCAGUCAUUGAUGUUGCUUUGAAGGCUUAAACAGCAACAUACAUGUAAGUGUAAAGAAGAGAAAAUAUAUAUUGAGCCAUAUGCUACAGACAUCAGGUUGGUGUUCUUAUGUAAGCUUGACAAGACUGGUUUUAUGCUUCAAAUAUGGUGUCAGUUUUUGGUUUUUGUUGGUCUUCGUGGUCAUCGGCCAAUGCGUAAAUGAUAGUUAUUGUAAUAUUUGAAAGGGAAAACAAUUUCUUGUUCUAACAGCUAUAACGUGUAUUGCAUUGUAGUUUUAAUUAUAAAUACUUCUCUAAUCAAACUUGAACUUGCUACUUACAAACUGAAAAAAAGAAAUAUUACAUUAGUUUUUUGUCAGCAUCAUUGAAUAUUUCAUAAUUUUUAUGUACUGCCAUGUAAUGAAUUUCAAAAUGGGUACAAUGUAUUAAAUUUUUGACAUUGAGUUAUAUACCAAUGUUUAUCAGACUGGUAUAUUCUACUAAAAAAGUUGUUUAUUUUUGUUAUACAGAUUUCGAUAUGUCUUCAAUGAACUUCAAGCAAAUCAUAUACGCAAAGAAAGAAAUGUGAUGUUAUGAUGUAAGCUUGACAAGACUGGUUUUAUGAUUCAAAUAUGGUAUCAGUUAUUUGUUAAUUGUCCUCGUGGUCAUCGGCCAAUGAGUAAAUAAUAGUUAUUGUAAUAUUUGAAAGGGAAAACAAUUUCUUGUUCUAACAGCUAUUACGUGUAUUGCAUUGCAGUUUGAAUUAUAAAUACUUCUCUAAUCAAACUUGAACUUGCUACUUACUCACUGAAAAGAAAGGAAUGUUACAUUACUUUUUUUCAGCAUCAUUGAUUAUUUUAUAAUUUGUAUGUCUUGCCAUGUAAUUAAUUUCAAAAUGGAUAUUUAUUUAUUUUUCCAUGAAAGC